This 5474-nucleotide long non-coding RNA is filed under the name Cricetulus griseus (Chinese hamster). RNAcentral describes it as "lncRNA (ENSCGRG00015032628.1)". The record is from RNAcentral. Lineage: Eukaryota; Metazoa; Chordata; Mammalia; Rodentia; Cricetidae.
GCCGGGCGUUGGUGGCACAUGCCUUUAAACCCAGCACUAGGGAGGCAGAGGCAGGCGGAUCUCUGUGAGUUCGAGGCCAGCCUGGUCUCCAGAGUGAGUGCCAGCAUAGGCUCCAAAGCUACACAGAGAAACACUGUCUCGAAAAUCAAAAAAAAAAAAAAUUGAUUCCAUUUAUGCAUUCAUUAUGUGUAGGGGAGGGCAUGUAUGUGUAGGCGGGAUUGGGUUCUUCUGUUAUACGGGUUUGGGGGAUCAAACUCGGGUGGUCAGGCUUGGCUGCAAGAGCCUUUACCCAAUGAACCAUCCCACCCACACAGAAAGCUAAAAUUGAUAGUGCUUGUUGAAAACGGAAAUUCUCAUGGAACUGCAUCUGCAAGAGCAGCAUAAACCUAUGAGGGCGGAGUGUCCUUUGUGUCCCUCUUUUAGGAAUAUAGGUUUGUGGAGGGGGUGGGAGUGGCUAUGGAAAUUCUAAGAGGAAGAUUGUUGCAGUACUAGGGCUUCAGGCAAGGCAGUGCAGGUCGGUCACUGUACAAGAGUUCCUGGCAGAGGUUUAAGUUUACCAAGCUCCACGCAUGAAGGGGCUCUGUCUACCCGCACCAAAUACUUUCCAGUGGCAUAAAUGCAUGAAGAAGUUGGCUUUAAGGGAGCGCUUCCAAUUUUCUUUAAUUUCAAAGUAUCUUUUCCAAGGAUCCUGCGGCACAGCUGGAAUCCCUCCUUCUGCGGAGAAACCUGAGCUCUGGGAAAAGGAGAUGGAUGACCUCAUUGCUGUAAGCGGCGCCCAUCGCUGCAGUUUCCUCUCUGGUCACUAGAUGGCCACACCGACCAGGCACCAGCACCUAAGGGAGGAGGGGUCGUUACUGAGAUUAGAAGCUGCAGGCAGUUUUAGGGAAAGGACGCCAGCUCCGCCGAAGCACACACCCAGCAAAGCUGUUUUUGUCCGAGAAUCUAGCGGUUGUUCGGUUCACGAGGCUGAUAUCUCAGCUGGUCUUUAGUAGAUGCCAGAAUCCGGAAGAAAUAAGCUCUAAUGCCAGAGAGAGAAAGCAGGCAAAAAGCAAGCUUUCUUCUUCGCUGUGGACUGCAGACAGAAGGAUCAGCAAGAUGGUAACCAUCCUUGCCGCCAAGCCUGAUGACCUGACUUCAAUCCCCGGGACCCACGUAGUAGGAGAAAACUCACUCCAGAAGGUCGUCCCUGAUCUUCAUUUGAGCUUUUCAGAUAAGUGACACUAGGUUGUGCCAAGUUGACAAUGCCCAAUUAGCAUGCCCAGGCCUGGCUUCUGUCCCCCAGCGCUGCAGCAUAAACAAAAGAGCAAAACAAUUCAUAGAUGGAGAGACAGUGCUGCCCUUGCUAGCUGUCAAACUUCCAGCAGGGGGCGCACUGGUUGCUGAUUACUACAGCACCUGUCAGCAAACAUGCUCACUGCAGGUGCUGGGUUGAGCUUCAGGGUGCUUUGGAAAGCCUGGCUGAAGGGAAGUUAGCUGCCACACCAUGUCUCCACAAAGGAACCAGGACCUUCUCAUUCUUGUCAGAGGGGCAUGAGGCAGGGGAAUAGCAGGAGGUUGGCUCUGGUCACAAAAGGUACAUUUCCUCUGCCACUGGGCCUUGGAGGAGCUGCCCCAGGCAGAGCAGAAUUCCUGUCUAGCUCCUCCUGGCUCUUCUCACUCUCAGCAAAUUGAAAGUGCUUGUUUGCUCCGUGUGUGUGUGUGUGUGUGUGUGUGUGUGUGUGUGUGUGUGUGUCUGUGUGUGUGUGUGUAUGACAGUAUCUCACCAUGUAGCUCUGGCUGUCCUGGAACUAAACUAACUAUAUAGACCAGGCUGGCCUUGAACUCACAGGAGAUUCCCUUGGCUCUUUCUUCCCCAGUGCUGAGAUUUAAAGUGUGCAUCUCUGCUCCCAGCCCUUGUGUGUAAAGUGGUGUGAGCUACAGAGAGAAGAGGUGAAAGGCUCUCCCCCUCCCUCCCUCUCUCCCUCCCUUCCUCCCUCCCUACUCCUCCUCCAUCUUUCUCAACUCUAAGUUUUCAUUUUAUUAAUCCUGUUAUUAAAAAUUCACACAAGAGUCUGGGGGAUGACCCAGUCAAGAGUGCACACAGCUCUUGCAAAGGACCUGCAUAGGGCGUUACGAAGUUAGAAAACACCGAAAGACCACCCAACUCUAUCCAGUUAUAAUUAGCUGGGUUUUUAUUUUAAGCUGCAGCUGUACUCUGUUCCCAUAGUAGAAAUUAGAACUGAGGCCCAGCUUAAAGUGGGGGAGGGAGGGGAGCUUUUGAAGGCAGGUCACAAUUUCUUUAUUCCUGUGGAAUUUACAGCUAGGUGAGGAACAGCCUCUGUCCACAACAAUAACGGAGUUUACAGGAACUAGAACAAGCAUUUAAUCAUCUCUCAACAGUUUUAAAAUUCUAGGGAGGUAGGCAAGGAGUUGCCAGCAGCUUGCUUGUCUUUCAGGAAUUGAGAAUGGGUGCCUAGCACAAAGUUGAGUUUUCCCGAGCCAUUGUCAGGAGACUCACAAUCACCUGCAACUUCAGCUCCAGGGACCCAACACCAUCUUCUGGCAUCUGUGAGCCCCUGCACUCACAUGCACAUGCGUGCAGACAUGCACAGUAAUAUAAAUAAAUCUUUCUUUAAAAUGCACACAGCCUCCAACAGGCACCGUAACUGUAGGGUCCUUACUCUUGCUUUUGGCAUCCACACUGACCUUCAGAGCUCCUGACCUUCUUCACACUGUCCCAGUCACCCUUUCACUUUUUUUUUGGUGGGGUCGUUUACCUCCUGUAAGCCCGAGUAUGGAUUCACUUUUCUUUCCCCAAUCCAAGAGAUUGUGAACCAUGCCAAGGCCAGGCAUCUUGCCAGCACCAUAACAAUCCUGAAGCCAUAUGCAAUGACGAUGCUCAUGUGGCCUUGCGUGUUCCAGCUUAUUCUUCCCGAACUCCUGUCUUAGAUUCAGUGUUCAGAGUCUCUAGCCAUGCUGUCCUGUGACUGGUGGCUGUGAGUACUAAUGGUUGAGGGUGGAGUGGGUAGAUGAAAGCUUUGUUAGGGUGGCAGAGACAGCACAGUGAAUAAGGUCAGGAGAGACGGCUCAGUGAGUACAGUGCUUGUUGUUCAAGCUUGAGGACCUGCUUCUGAAUCCACAUAAGAGCUGGAUAGGGAGGUAUGUGCUUGUAACCCCAUCUCUGGGUGGACAGAAACAGGAAGACCUGGCAGCUUUCUGUUCAGUGAGAGACCCUGUCUCAAAAAAUGAGGAGAAGAGUGACACCGGAGAAAACUGAUGUCACCUGGCCUCCACAGUCACACCUACACACACACACACACACACACACCAUACACACAUACAAUACACCCACACAACACCCACCAUGCACAUACACACACAGCAUAGUUUUAUUACUGAAUUUUUAUUUUCUUUAACUGUGCCCAGAAUAAUAGGCCGCAGUAAUAGAGUUUAGAAUUUACCAAGUUCUUCCCCAAAACUCUUACAAAAUCAUUUAAUCCCCACGAAAUCAUGCCUAUAAGGCAGGUGCUACCACUGUCCCCCUUCUACAAGGAAGAAAGCCCAGGUCCAGGGAAGACAAAAGCCUUUCUGAAGGCUGCCAGAGAACCCCGGAGCAUGAAUUUAUUUCUCAGUUCUGAGUGUUGAACUCACAGUCUUUUCCCACACUAAGGCAGCACUGUACUAUUGAGCCACACCUCAAGAUCUGUUUUGGAAUUUAAUGAUGUUUCUUUUUCUCUCCUUUAAAAAAAAAGGCUUCACUAUCUAGACCAGGCUGGCCUGGAACUCACUAUGUAGCCCUGGCUGGCCUUGAAGUCACAGAGAUCCACUUGCCUCUGCCUCCCAAGUGCUAUGAUUAAGGGCAUGGACCUUCACGCCCAGCUGACGCUUUCUUUGAAAUAAAUGUUUUAUCAGUUUUUGUAAAUGUACUAUAGAUUAUGGACUCAAGCUCAUAACUAUUAAUUUUACCUUAUGAACAGGGUCACUCAUAUUAGUGCAUGCCUUUGGCUCAUUUCAUCCACACGGGAUAAAUCAGAGGCUGUUUAAAUUGACUUCUUCAUAUUGUAAAACUUUUUAAAAGUUACUUCCACCUUAUGCUAUAUUUUCCUUGCCAUUAACUACCUCCUCCCUCUCCCUUCCUCCUCUUCUUCAUUUUUCAAAAUAAUAUUUUUAUGUUUAAUUGUGGGUGCGCAUGCCCCCCCUCUCUGUGUGGGGGUGUAUGCACGUGCACACACGCACGCAAGCAGAUGUCUGAAGAGGCCAGAAGAGGGCAUCAUGCUGCUGAGAGCUGUGACUGAGGUGUGCCAAGAAUCAGCCUGGCUCAUAGCAGCCUAACCAGCUCUCUAGGUUGCUUCUUUGGUUUCUCUAAGACAGAGUUGCAUGUAACCCAGGCUUGUCUCAAGCUCAGGAUGUAACCAAGGAUAACCAUAAACUCGUCAUUCUGUUCUCUCGUCUUCACCUUCCAAGUACUAUAGUUCACUCUCAUGUCUGGCAGGUGUUAUAUUGUCCAGAUUCUAGAAUUUUCUAUUGUACACAUGUAUUUUUUUCAUGCUUACUCAUCUUUAAAGGUGAAAGUUUUACACAUGCUUUGCAUUUGUUCCCAAACAGGAUGAUGUCAUUCUUUCCUGGCCCCUGCCUGUCCUUGUAGAUUCUGCAGGAAUCUUCCUCUCAUAUUUUAACUGCAGUUUAGUCACCUUCCAGCAUCCUAAGCCUUGUAUGGAAAACACCAUCCACAGAAGAGGUUCCUCUCUGUGCUUUGUGAAGCCACUGUCCCUGGGGGCCAAAGGCUGCCUGGCCUCUAGCCUUACUUCCUGACUAGUGGCCGAAUGGUUGCAGCUUGGCCAUUGUCCUGGGAUUCCAUCUCCAGCGCUGGAGAAGAGAAUUGUCACUCAAGGCCCUUUCAACCUUCCAGCCUUCUACCUGCGUGAAAGAGGAGAGGUGACAGCUGAGCAGAGGAGACGGAGAACACAAGCUGCUACCCGAACAGAUUCUGAGGAACCCUUGACUCCCAGUCUUGCGUGAAGAUCUACUUUCAGAGGCACCUGACAGGGACUCCUGUAUCCCAGGCUGGUCUUAAAUCUGAAAAGUAGCUGAGGACGACCUUGAAUUCCUGAUCCUUCUGCUCUACCUCCUACCCCAGCCAAGUGCUGGGAUUACAGUCCAGUUUUGUUGUAAGACUUUAAAAAAAAAAAAACUACACUUGCUUUUGUUCAAGAGAAACAUGAGGUAAAAAAUAUGUAUUCAUUUUGGUAUAUUUUAAAAUGUGUGUGGGUAUAUUGUCUGUAUGCAUGUCUGUGCCUGUGGAGGCCAGAGGAGAUUGUUGGAUCACUUGGAACUGGAGUUAUAGUUGUUUGUAAGCCACCUUGUGAGUGCUGGAAAUUGAACCUGGGGUCCUUCAGAAGAGCAGUGGUGUUCUUUUUAUAUUUAUAAAACUAUUGUUUUAUUUUAUGUGUAUGAAUGUUUUGUUUGCAAAUAUGUAUGUGCAUCAUGUGUGCCUG